Molecule: ribosomal RNA, 465 nt
Filed under: uncultured bacterium
Lineage: Bacteria
Description: bacterial SSU rRNA
Rfam family: Bacterial small subunit ribosomal RNA
Source: RNAcentral
CCUACGGAGGGCACCAGUGGGGAAUAUUGCACAAUGGGCGCAAGCCUGAUGCAGCCAUGCCGCGUGUAUGAAGAAGGCCUUCGGGUUGUAAAGUACUUUCAGCGGAGAGGAAGGUGUUGUGGUUAUUAACCGCAGCAAUUGACGUUACCCGCAGAAGAAGCACCGGCUAACUCCGUGCCAGCAGCCGCGGUAAUACGGAGGGUGCAAGCGUUAAUCGGAAUUACUGGGCGUAAAGCGCACGCAGGCGGUCUGUCAAGUCGGAUGUGAAAUCCCCGGGCUCAACCUGGGAACUGCAUUCGAAACUGGCAGGCUAGAGUCUUGUAGAGGGGGGUAGAAUUCCAGGUGUAGCGGUGAAAUGCGUAGAGAUCUGGAGGAAUACCGGUGGCGAAGGCGGCCCCCUGGACAAAGACUGACGCUCAGGUGUGAAAGCGUGGGGAGCAAACAGGAUUAGAUACCCGCGUAGUC